CACGGGGCCUGGGAGCCGUUUCUCCUACCUGAGGGAAGCAGCCACACGCCAGACCGCGCCUGCUGGGCCCAGAGGAACGUUAGUCAGGCAGCUUUGAGUUCAGGAGUCGCUGCCCUGGCAACAGCACAGAAACUGCUUUCUGCCCGUAACUUUCUCAGAGAGCUUCGCGGUCUGUGGCUGUAGGUUCAUCCCUCCUCUGCCUCUUCAGCCUGGUCUGUCUGGCCAGGAUCCCUGACUUGCUCGGACCCCUCCUCCGUCCUAUUGGCUGUUGGCGUUUGUUCUACCAAGAUAGCUACUUUUACAUCCCUCGGUUUUACAGUACUGGGAAGACGUGGUAUCUCGACCUCUUAAAAUGGCUCUGAAGAGGCUGGUGCUGCACACCCACUUCCAGGAUGUGUGCCACUCGACGGUCACCCAGAAGCCCUCCAGUCACCCCCAGAUCCUGAGGGCCCAAGGACAGUGUAAAAAGGCACAGUGAGAGGGACUGUCAACCAGUGCUAAAGGCAGGAUGUUUGGAGAAGAGGCCUCCAUACCUGGUAGUGUACCAUCAACAUCUAGAUCUCUGGAGGGGACUAGAGGGACAAUUCCUUCAGGUGCCAAGCUGGGUUUCUGAAGGGAAAGCUCUUAUCCAAAUCUCAGAAGAUAAUUUAAGAAAAGCCACAGUGCUCUCUGAGCUCCUUCACCAAAGGCCAUGCCAUUCCCAGCUUAUGGGCUGUGUUGGAGGUGUCCUGCCUCUUUGGAGGGGUGAUCCAGGUACAGCAGGGCUCUCUGGUCCAAAGCUCCUGUUUCUCAAGAUGUUGUCAAAGGCAGUGCUUGAGGAAGGCCAUCAACUCCCUGAUCAAGAAGAUGAUACAGGGAGAAAAAUCUUUCAAACCUGUCAAGCAGGAGUUCCCUAGGGCAACUACUAUUUAUGGGUCUUGCAAAUGGAAAAUUUCAAUGUCACUGCUGGGCCACUGCCACCAACCAUUGUAGGGUGAUGAGCUGCCCUCACCUCCUCCCUCCCUCCGCUUCCUUGUACAGUCAUUGCUGGGCUUUGAGAAGACUGCUGAAUACCAAUGGUGUGAUAAGGUCUUGGAGGUGAAAACUGAGGCCGUGUCAGACUGCAGGGCCACUUAGUCUGCCCUUGGCCACCUUGAACUUGCAGAUCUAGGUUACAAAAACAGUACCAGUCACUGACCUAUGUGCCAGGCCCCCAAUCCUCUCUGGCCCUUUACCUUCUCCCACACUGGAGAUUGGUUAUGAAGUGAGAUGUACUGUUCCUAAUUCUUUUUGCUGUUUAUUCCCCUUUAGGUUUAAGCUCCCUUAGGGGUUCCACUUAGGAGGAAGAAUCUGAUUCCUUGCAUCCCUGUGCCUCAGCCAUAGCUGCAGCACAUUCUACUUUGAUCUCCCUACAUCUGGAUACUUUUCUUCAAGCCUGCCUCCUGCAGAACGGAGUCUCUACACUUAUGGUUAGAGAUUCUCCUCCUUUUAUCUGACAGACCCCUUCUACAGUCACCUCCACCAGUACCUAGUCUUUGCUUGCCAGUUCAUCAUUGCUUUUGGAGAUACAUUGACCACCACAACAGGCACAUCUGCAUACUUAGAACUUUGGUGUCACUGACAUGGCGCCACUUAUUCCCAUGAUUUCACCUUGAGGUCUCUCCCAGAUUCUAGGGGGAACUUUUCCCCAUUUUUCUAUGGCACUUCCUGGAACUGAGAACUUGUCACCCUAGUGGCAGCAUUGCCUCAGACCUGGUUUCUACCAGCCUGCCUGCAGGUGCUCUAGGCCCUUGUGUCUCCAUUUAAAAUGAGGCCACCUAGACUUCUUUCACUCCCCCACCCCCUGGCUAAAACACAGGGGGUACAAGGGACUUCCCUUUCUGCAUAUAGUCAGUAUACUUGUUCUCCCUUAUGCCCCUUGAUGCCCCCGGCUACAGGGUGAGUUCCAUUUCUUUUGCCUAGGUCAUUUGUGAGGAGCAGAUAUCUUCUGCAAAGGCUCCAUGCUCUACUAACCUAUUUGAAGGUAUGAUCAGCAGCCUUACCAUAAACUCUCAACCUUCCCUUGGACCCAGGAGCUCACAUUUGGGGCCUCUAAUGGGGCCCAAUGAGUGGUAUUGGCCUUUCUGAACACUCUGUAUCCAAGCCUACCUUUGACUCUGAUGAAAUUGACAUUGAUACCACACCCCCUCCCUAGGCUGUCAUCUCUGGUCUCCUCCAUCUCCAGUGAUGGCAUCUCCCCAUUUCCCAUGGAGCUUCUUGGUUCUGAGAACACACUACCCAGUGGCAGUAUUGCCUCAGAUCUAGUUUCCAUUAGCUUUCCCAGAGUCAGUGCAUGCCUCAAAUGCAACUUUCAAGCUCCCUUUGACUCAGGAAUCAAUCUGCAGCCCAUAUUUGGGGCCCUUGAUCAGCUGGGACCAUGAAUUUUGGCAAUUCUUUUCCUUUUGGAAAGUAGGCAGCCCCAGCACAACCUCCUAAUUUAACCCGUGCUUAGACACCCCAUGAUAGCACAGCUCAAUCAGCUGUGUGACAUCCCCAUUUUCCCACCUUUGGUAUCCCCGUCAGCACCCAGCCAGCCUAUGGAGAAAUCCCAGGUGUCUUUCUCAUCGGGAUAAUCAUUGUUUCUGGUUUUAGAGCCAUCACCAAAGUGCCCAGCACAGGACAGUAGCUCAGCAUUUGCUAACACCACUGCAGACCCAUUUGUGUUUCUGAGAUCUACAGACUUUGAGUAGAGGCAGUUUUGGGGUGAGAGUGGCUGCCAUUUUGGAUCACUUGGCUUUGGUGCAAGGCCAAGCAGACACUAGUUCCCUAGGGUGAAGAUAUUUGAUACCUAAGCACCAGAGUCCUGCCAGUCUAUAGCGCCCUAUUGCAAAUGGAGAAUCUACUUCUACAGAAAGCAAACCUGUCCUGAGGGACACUUUUCUUCCUGCCUAUAGUCAGAGCACUUGGGAAAGUCAAGGUGACGACACAUCUGUGACUACUGGAGAAGUCUGCACCACUGAAAAGAAAUGAGUGCUGGGACACAUUUGUUCUUCCUGGUGGUCAAGUCAGCUGGACAAGAGCACACUGGCUGUAGUCAAGGGAACCAGCAUUAUACUUGUGUUGGAUGAUACUUCUCUUUCCGCCUUGUUAGAGUUCACAUGGUCACAGCACACGUGCUGGUAUGGGAAUGAUCAAUACCCUGGAGACACUUUUUCAUGCCUACAAUCAGGGCAUGGGUCUGUACUUUGUCCGAGUUCACAGCUGGCACUGUGCCCUUCCAUACCUGCAGGUCCUUAUGUCCCAUCCUACAGAGAGCUGGCAUCCAAGUGAUACAAUGGAUGGGAACAUCACCGGACUUGUGACUGGGGGCCUUCCCUCCAUCAUUCUGAGCUCCUGGGUUGCUCAGGAUCAAAGCACUUUUGCUAUAGUCAAAGGGACAAUGCCAUACAUUUUUAGGGAGACAUUUGUACUUUUGCCUGCCACCUAGUCAUGUUUGUCUCCUUUGACUUAUGGGGAGAAAGCAUAAUGAGAAAAUACCUGUGUUUUGAGGCACUUUUGCUCUUACCUUUGGUCAGAGUAAUUCCAAGCCUGGUGUAGUCACCACAGCCUCAGCCUUGUCUUUGUGGUACCUUCAUUGCCACGUAGGAUGUAGGAGGUCGAUGUGCAGGAUCACAUCUCUUCAUUUUCUUCUAGUGCAAGAUGCAGGAUCUCAGCAAAUAAGGAACAAAAGCUUCCAUGAAUGGAACUUGCUCUGCUGGGGAGAGGCUUAAUCUUUUCUAAGUUAAACAAAGUUAAUCUUGCCUGAUCUUUCUACUACAAACUGGAGGUCUGAAACCUCUGUAUGUGUCAGGGGGUGUGCAGCCGGUGAGGCUGAUCAGGACUUAAGAAGUUCCAUGGUAGAGAGUUGAAGAGAGCUCUGUAGACAUCAUCAACCAAGACCUUCCUGACUUUGGACUUUAGCCUGACCCACCCAGCUUCUUGUUCUGGAACCCUGCUGCCUACAGUUGCUUCAUUCUCCUCAUUUGCCUCAAUGGGCCAUUUGGUACUUUGUCCUGGAUUAUCUAUAUAAAGCCAUGGUCUUGCUAAUCCAUUCUCCUGUCUUUGCUCUUGGACUCAACACUGACAUGUAUGAAUGGUGUGUGAUGUGAUUGGCCACACCUAACUAUGCAGUUUUCUGUGCUCCAGCAAAUAGUGGAUGCUCCCACACUUUUAUGACUUCACAUGUGACUUCUGUUGUCUCUUUGUUUGUAGCAUAAGGGAUGGUAACCCAGGAAAAUGUGAGAUGCAGAGGAUGGAGAGACAGAUAAAGGAAGGUUUGUCACAUGGGAAAUGCCUAAGAAGUACCCCCAUCAGUGCUUCCAGGAGUCUCCUGAUAUGAAAUGUGAAUAGCAGAAUCACAAGUAAAAAUGGCCUUGCACCACUAAACCAUACCAAAUGAGUAAAAUGCAGGUAAUGGGACAGGACAAUGUCCCAUUCAUUAUCUCUCAUGACCAUCACAGCAGUUUGGAGGUGGACUGGUGGCUGCCCCAGGUCACACAGUUAGACACAGGGAUGAAGCUUUCUGAGGGUACCUUCUUUCAUUUACCUGCUGAAAACAAUUGGGAUGACAGACCAUGAAUAACUUGUUAUAUUUGGGCAUUGAGAUCAUAACUGAUAAUCUAGUUGGUAAUGAGAUUUUUGAACUUGAUGAAAUUUAAUUCUGGGGUUAUUGCUUCUGACUUGAAGAAUUUAGACCACUAACUUGAGUGGGAAUGUGUUUCUGCUUGGUUGGAGCUUGCUUAGGCUUUGCAGUUUCUGGUACCUCAAGUAUUAUUGGGCAAAAUUCAAUGAAUCUGGCUCUGUAGAACUUUUGAGAGAUGUUCCAUCCCCAGGCAGUGUAUGAGCACUCAGAGGGAGGAGUUCCAUAGACUUCAG
Talpa occidentalis (Iberian mole) is the source of this 4872-nucleotide long non-coding RNA. RefSeq lists it as uncharacterized. NCBI's taxonomy places the organism in Eukaryota, Metazoa, Chordata, Mammalia, Eulipotyphla, Talpidae. The record is from RefSeq and is a predicted model, not a curated record. The transcript is spliced from 4 exons.